GGGGGUGUCCUGGCUUCGACGGGGGUCGCGAAUUCGUUCGGUGCAUGCCGAGGGGGCAGCUUUCCUCGUAAAUCCAGCGGCAAACAAUCAGACGCCAACGACGACGUCUACGCUCUGGCCGCUUAAGGCCUAGCCCCGAAACCACUUGUGUCCGUGCUCGUGGAGGUAGGGUCAUCAUCACGGAAUCGCUGAAGCUCGCCGCCUGUCGGUCUUCGGCCAACUCAAAACAGGCUGGUCCGGCGGUGCGCUUUGCUCAUCGUGCUGCCGCAGGACGAGAUCCAACGAUGAGAUAAGCAUGUAGGGCCGGCGAUGCAGGGCCUUCGGACGCGGGUUCGACUCCCGCCACCUCCACCA
This 354-nucleotide transfer-messenger RNA is filed under the name Lysobacteraceae. Its description in RNAcentral is "UBA11164 sp002420085 Standard tmRNA". It matches the Rfam family "transfer-messenger RNA". From Rfam's summary of the family: Bacterial tmRNA, also known as 10Sa RNA or SsrA, is named for its dual tRNA and mRNA-like properties. Its role is to liberate the mRNA from a stalled ribosome. To accomplish this part of the tmRNA is used as a reading frame that ends in a translation stop signal. RNAcentral also lists the same sequence under 1 other name. The record is from RNAcentral. Lineage: Bacteria; Pseudomonadati; Pseudomonadota; Gammaproteobacteria; Lysobacterales.